RNAcentral lists this long non-coding RNA (966 nucleotides) under Gossypium barbadense (sea-island cotton). RNAcentral describes it as "long non-coding RNA (GBAR_LNC011135)". The record is from RNAcentral. Lineage: Eukaryota; Viridiplantae; Streptophyta; Magnoliopsida; Malvales; Malvaceae.
CGUCUGUACAACACAACUUAUUGAGCCACAGCAAUAGACUUUGGGCAUCACUAGCUACAUUAACUAAGAACACGGACAGCUCACCACCUUGCAGAAUAAAUACAAAAGCAUAUACAGUUACCUCAUACAUUGUUAAGAUAAGCAUUGAGCUCCAUCUUUUAUGACAGGAAGUAGAUAAUGUCAGAAUCAAGCAACGAAAGGAACCCAUCGACACCCAUCACCUGCUCAUUUCCCAUCUCAAGUAAUGGGAAGAAACUGUCUUUUUUCCUAAAGAAGGGCAUGCUUCCUAUAACUCUCAUAGAACUCUAUGUUUUGCUCCAAAUGUACUUGUAGUUAGCAUAUUUCCAUUUUAACAAGUAAAAGAACAGUUCCUCACAUGUCAGGUGCCCACUGAGAUGUUGAUAAUUUCAUAGAAGACGUUGAGCAAUACACCAUCAACUUACAAUAUUCAGCAACACUUCACAAUAAGAAUGGUAGUCAUUAAACAUAAAUCUAUAAUCCUGAAGGUCCUCAAGGAUGUCAAGCCGUGAUGCCAUCUGAACAUAAAAUAUCACACGCAUGCCAAAAUGUAGACAACCAAAAGGUUCAACUGCAUGGUAAAAGUGAAGCCAAAAGCACCUGGUGUACAAAUUGCCAACACAAUCCUCAACUGCAGCAGCAACUUCAAUUUGGCACAUUCAACUAACUUAAUUGCACUCCUUACUGGAUUCUUGGCUAGGAUGCGAUUCCAAAACAGAAUAUAAUUGUAAACAACAAGCAAACUAGACAUUCUUUCCAGUAAAGUUGAGGGAACACCAAAAUAUAUGCAAACAAGUAUGGGUUGUGUACAGAUAAACUUGAAGUAUUUGUAUUUCCAAUCCGCAUGACAACUUUCAGAGUCCCAAUCUUUCUUACAAUAAUCCUUACAGUUUCUUUUAUGUUAACAAAAUUAACAUAAAUAGUAUUAAUAUAAACGGGAUCACCUGC